UGAACGCUGGCGGAAUGCUUUACACAUGCAAGUCGAGCGGCAGCGCGGGGGCAACCUUGGCGGCGAGCGGCGAACGGGUGAGUAAUAUAUCGGAACGUGCCCUGUAGCGGGGGAUAACCUAUCGAAAGAUGGACUAAUACCGCAUACGCUCUACGGAGGAAAGCGGGGGUCGCAAGACCUCGCACUAUAGGAGCGGCCGAUAUCGGAUUAGCUAGUUGGCGGGGUAAAAGCCCACCAAGGCGACGAUCCGUAGCUGGUCUGAGAGGAUGAUCAGCCACACUGGAACUGAGACACGGUCCAGACUCCUACGGGAGGCAGCAGUGGGGAAUUUUGGACAAUGGGCGCAAGCCUGAUCCAGCCAUGCCGCGUGAGUGAAGAAGGCCUUCGGGUUGUAAAGCUCUUUCGGCGGGAACGAAAUGGUUCGUGCUAAUACCACGGACUGAUGACGGUACCUGAAGAAGAAGCACCGGCUAACUACGU
RNAcentral lists this ribosomal RNA (480 nucleotides) under uncultured bacterium. RNAcentral describes it as "bacterial SSU rRNA". It matches the Rfam family "Bacterial small subunit ribosomal RNA", at positions 30 to 506 of the family's 1533-position model. The record is from RNAcentral.